AACGAACGCUGGCGGCAUGCCUAACACAUGCAAGUCGAACGAGACCUUCGGGUCUAGUGGCGCACGGGUGCGUCACGCGUGGGAACCUUCCCGUAGGCUCGGAAUAACUCCCCGAAGGGGGUGCUAAUACCGGAUAAUGUCUUCGGACCAAAGAUUUAUCGCCUUUGGAUGGGCCCGCGUUGGAUUAGCUAGUUGGUAGGGUAAAAGCCUACCAAGGCGACGAUCCAUAGCUGGUCUGAGAGGAUGAGCAGCCACACUGGGACUGAGACACGGCCCAGACUCCUACGGGAGGCAGCAGUGGGGAAUAUUGGACAAUGGGCGAAAGCCUGAUCCAGCAAUGCCGCGUGAGUGAUGAAGGCCUUAGGGUUGUAAAGCUCUUUUAACCGGGAUGAUAAUGACAGUACCGGGAGAAUAAGCUCCGGCUAACUCCGUG
This 433-nucleotide ribosomal RNA is filed under the name uncultured bacterium. RNAcentral's name for it is "partial 16S ribosomal RNA". It matches the Rfam family "Bacterial small subunit ribosomal RNA", at positions 29 to 507 of the family's 1533-position model. The record is from RNAcentral.